UGUCCAAAAAAAGCAUGGUAUAACUAUGUUCAAAAAAUAUGGUAUUACCUUGGUAAAUGUCCAAAAACAUGAUAUUGCCAUGUUACAAGUCCAAAGCAACAUGGUAUUACCUUGGUACAUUUUAGUAAAUCUUGGCUGUCUAUUUAACAACAAGGUCUGUUGACUAUCUGAAUAUCAACUUUCUAUAAUUAAGGUGAAUGUAAAAUCUCUUCCGCUGUUGGAGGACACAGUGCUGGUUUUUAUCGAUGAGAAAUACAACACAAACUCUGCGCAGGUGGCCCGGAGGUUCAACAUUUAGAGAGGAUCCCAAGAGCUUCAGCCCUCAAUGCAUAAGAGCCAACUUCCAGAUAUUCGAUUUUUCACUUAUGGAUGAUGAAAUGGACGCCAUCAAAAAGCUGAACAAAAAGUCUGUUUUGUGGAACUUCUGAUGAUUGGACCACGGAGAAAAUCAGCCAGUCCUGGGGAUUGGUGGAUGUGGAGAGGUCUGCUUACUUAAGGGGACGUUGUUGAUCAGAUGUAGCUGGCUCCCAAGGCCGUGGUGGCCUUUUUGUACUCUGUAGUGUGUUUCUUCAUUGUUAACAUGUGGUAGUGAAAGCCAAUGUCUAAUUUAUCGAAGUGAGUGACUGUUUCCUCCAAAGUCAAUAUGUGAUUGAUCUUAAAGAGGAAGCCGUAGGAAAUGGAGGCCUGUUUCUUUUAUUGUGUGUUGAGUGUUUCCUUGUUUCUGGACUAGUUAGGGAGGUAGGGAAGAAUUAUGUAUUUUAUUUAUUUAUUUAUUGAUUGAUUGAUUAGGGAAGUACAUUUUCAACUGGGGAGUUAGAAUCACUUUUGUUUGUUAUUUUGGCCACAAUCAUUUCUAAAGUCUUUGCUUCACUCUUACAAAGAGAAGAGAAAUGUUUCAUCCAAUAAAUUUGGGAGUUUUUGGUUAAUCCUGCUUGUGGCAUCUCAUUUAUGUUGCAUUCUUGCCCCUAGAUGGGACGUAACAAUGUACAUUGUCUCCUAGCUCUUUUAAUUUCAGGAGGAAAUUCUGUUUAUGAUAUUUUAAGGUGCAAGAAUGUGAUGUCAUAGUUUUGUACAGGUAUCAG
Molecule: long non-coding RNA, 1082 nt
Organism: Myxocyprinus asiaticus (Chinese sucker)
Lineage: Eukaryota; Metazoa; Chordata; Actinopteri; Cypriniformes; Catostomidae
Exons: 3
Source: RefSeq, a predicted model, not a curated record